GAUGAACGCUGGCGGCGUGCCUAAUACAUGCAAGUCGAGCGAACGGACGAGAAGCUUGCUUCUCUGAUGUUAGCGGCGGACGGGUGAGUAACACGUGGAUAACCUACCUAUAAGACUGGGAUAACUUCGGGAAACCGGAGCUAAUACCGGAUAAUAUUUCGAACCGCAUGGUUCAAAAGUGAAAGACGGUCUUGCUGUCACUUAUAGAUGGAUCCGCGCUGCAUUAGCUAGUUGGUAAGGUAACGGCUUACCAAGGCAACGAUGCAUAGCCGACCUGAGAGGGUGAUCGGCCACACUGGAACUGAGACACGGUCCAGACUCCUACGGGAGGCAGCAGUAGGGAAUCUUCCGCAAUGGGCGAAAGCCUGACGGAGCAACGCCGCGUGAGUGAUGAAGGUCUUCGGAUCGUAAAACUCUGUUAUUAGGGAAGAACAUAUGUGUAAGUAACUGUGCACAUCUUGACGGUACCUAAUCAGAAAGCCACGGCUAACUACGUG
RNAcentral lists this ribosomal RNA (497 nucleotides) under uncultured bacterium. Its description in RNAcentral is "partial 16S ribosomal RNA". It matches the Rfam family "Bacterial small subunit ribosomal RNA", at positions 28 to 507 of the family's 1533-position model. The record is from RNAcentral.